Molecule: microRNA, 23 nt
Filed under: Echinops telfairi (small Madagascar hedgehog)
Lineage: Eukaryota; Metazoa; Chordata; Mammalia; Afrosoricida; Tenrecidae
Description: Ete-Mir-430-P8_5p* (star (passenger))
Source: RNAcentral
GCUCAGCCCUGGGGGCACUUUCU